RNAcentral lists this ribosomal RNA (593 nucleotides) under Bacillus sp. CH408e_13C. RNAcentral describes it as "bacterial SSU rRNA". It matches the Rfam family "Bacterial small subunit ribosomal RNA", at positions 59 to 632 of the family's 1533-position model. The record is from RNAcentral. Lineage: Bacteria; Bacillati; Bacillota; Bacilli; Caryophanales; Bacillaceae.
CAGUCGAGCGGAGAUUUGAAAGCUUGCUUUUCAAAUCUUAGCGGCGGACGGGUGAGUAACACGUGGGCAACCUGCCCUUGAGACGGGGAUAACUCCGGGAAACCGGAGCUAAUACCGGAUAACACAUAUCUUCGCAUGAUGAUAUGUUAGAAGGUGGCUUUUAGCUACCACUCAAGGAUGGGCCCGCGGCGCAUUAGCUAGUUGGUGAGGUAACGGCUCACCAAGGCGACGAUGCGUAGCCGACCUGAGAGGGUGAUCGGCCACACUGGGACUGAGACACGGCCCAGACUCCUACGGGAGGCAGCAGUAGGGAAUCUUCCGCAAUGGACGAAAGUCUGACGGAGCAACGCCGCGUGAGUGAUGAAGGUUUUCGGAUCGUAAAGCUCUGUUGUUAGGGAAGAACAAGUAUCUGUUGAAUAAGCAGGUACCUUGACGGUACCUAACCAGAAAGCCACGGCUAACUACGUGCCAGCAGCCGCGGUAAUACGUAGGUGGCAAGCGUUGUCCGGAAUUAUUGGGCGUAAAGCGCGCGCAGGCGGUUCCUUAAGUCUGAUGUGAAAGCCCACGGCUCAACCGUGGAGGGUCAUUGGAAA